AACAGGAUUGGCGAUUUUUAGUUGUAUGCCAACAACAUUAUCUAGUGGAGUUGCACUGACCCAGCUUGUCGGUGGGAACUCUGCUCUUGCUCUUGCAAUGACUGUGAUAUCUAAUCUAUUGGCUAUUUUGGCAGGGAAAAUUGCAGACACAAGUAGCAAUUUCGUUUCUAGGCCAAAGAGAGAGCUUGUUUACAUUACCCUUGCUUGUUGGCUAGUAGUCCUACCGUAGGUAGUGUGAAAUACGUUGAAAGGUAAAAGUUCUAUUUGUCUUCAUUUUUUUCCUCUGACAAUUGUAAUUUUUUUGGUGUACAAAAAGAUGCCAAAUUCCCUAUUUACCUCCUGAAAAUAUCUAUGUGUUGUUAGACUAAAAAUGAUCAGAUAUUUUCCUCUACUUCUAAAGGAAUGUGUAAUCAUUUGAUUUGUUUAACUGUUUUCAAGCAUCACCAUUUAUAGUAAUGCAAUUAAAUGCAUUUCAGACCUCCAUUGUACUGUGAGUUGUAUCAACUAAGCAGAACUUCUUGCAUAUAUGCCUGCUAUGGAAUCUGUUGUAAAUUUGUUCUGGAAUUAGGCAAUUAUAGAUGAAAAAAAAGAAAGAGAAAGUGGGAGAGAAAUUGGACAGUUUAAAUGUUGUUCAGCAAUAUGCCUAUGUCCACAGGACAGCUGCAUAACAUUAGUAUCAUAAAAAAUCUAUCUGGGGUUACAGAUGACUUGUAUUUUUUGUGUAUCAGCCUCAAAACUCUAACCUACCACAUUGAAUUUCCCAAAAUACAUUUAACUUAUUGCGGAUGCUACGUUAAUGUCCUCCCCGGGCAUUAUAUAAUAUGUAUAAGCCACUGGCUCCCUGACACAUAGGAGUCUGCCAGAGUCCCAAGCAAGACUUGCUGUUCUCCCAAACAUUAUUCCUCCUAAUUGGCCAUCUUCCCGACGGGACCAAGAGUCCUAUUCCUCCAGAAUUUCAUGUAUCAAAUUACUCUGUCCAAUCUUGGCAUUGAAUAUGUGCCACCAUCUCCGAAAGAAUGAUAUGGCUUUGAUUAGCCAGAUAAUGAGUGGUUAAAAAAAAAAAAGGAUAAGACUCGUUAUUGUUUAUUAAAUACCUCUAGCUAUCAUAAUUUUUAUUUCCCCAAAAUAUCUGACUAUGAUUGGUUUAUAGGUCUGGCAACAUGCAUUGAUCAGAAUCAAAGGAUUUUCUCAAUGAUGAGUACUGUCCUUCUUAGUCUUACGCCAUGGAUGCAAGUAAGCAAGUUCAGACUCUUGAUUUUAAUGUUAAAGCCAAAAGGAUUUAUUGAAGCUAUGGGAAUGGGAAUUAAAGUGCAUGUCAGCCGGCUUUGGUGGUGGAGAAUCCAUUUUAUCAAAGAAAGAGAAUUUCCGCGCUCUCUUAAUAGUUUGUAGCCAGAAAGCUCUGCUCAUCGUUGUAGCUGUAGUGGAUCAGCUCAGUGGUGUAGUUGGUGAAACAGGGCUGUUAGUUCUUCCUUGUGUUGUGGCACAUAUUAACCAGGUCAUCAUUGAUUCAGUACUAGUAAACUUUUGGCUCUGGAAAGAUCUGUCAUACAACAAAGAUUUUGAAGCAUGACCCUCCUUAGUUGAUGUGCAUUUUGCAAAUUUGUUGUGCUUUUGAGAAUAAUUUUUGAAGGAGAUUAAAUUACAUACCACCAACGCCCCCCCCCCCCCCCCCCCCCCCCACACACACACACACACACACAAAAAAACAAAGAAAAUUGAAAGCUCUUGGUAAGUAUUAUUGCUUGAUCUCAUGCACAUCUUUAGGAAAAUGAAUCAAAUCCUUAAAGCUGGACCAUCCAUUUCCAAAGACUUGGAUCUGUUUGAAGAAUUACAUUCAGCAACACCAAAUCAAUCACCAAAACUUAUCCCUUUUGAACCUCAACUUUGUUUGAGAUUAAAAAAAAAAAAAAGAAUGUAAAGGAUUUUAACCAUAGAACUAGCAGAGCAUUUGUGAAAUUGAAAGGUGUUCUUGGCAGAUACGACACGCUUUUGAUGCACAUAAUUUGAUAGCUACCCCUUAAUCUUUGCUAGUAAUUAUUUUA
Molecule: long non-coding RNA, 2042 nt
Organism: Carya illinoinensis
Lineage: Eukaryota; Viridiplantae; Streptophyta; Magnoliopsida; Fagales; Juglandaceae
Exons: 8
Source: RefSeq, a predicted model, not a curated record